GUACACUCCUGCGGGAGGCAGCAGUGGGGAAUAUUGGACAAUGGGCGCAAGCCUGAUCCAGCCAUGCCGCGUGAGUGAUGAAGGCCCUGGGGUUGUAAAGCUCUUUUGUGCGGGAAGAUAAUGACGGUACCGCAAGAAUAAGCCCCGGCUAACUUCGUGCCAGCAGCCGCGGUAAUACGAAGGGGGCUAGCGUUGCUCGGAAUCACUGGGCGUAAAGGGUGCGUAGGCGGGUCUUUAAGUCAGGGGUGAAAUCCUGGAGCUCAACUCCAGAACUGCCUUUGAUACUGAAGAUCUUGAGUUCGGGAGAGGUGAGUGGAACUGCGAGUGUAGAGGUGAAAUUCGUAGAUAUUCGCAAGAACACCAGUGGCGAAGGCGGCUCACUGGCCCGAUACUGACGCUGAGGCACGAAAGCGUGGGGAGCAAACAGGAUUAGAUACCCUGGUAGUCCCAU
This 451-nucleotide ribosomal RNA is filed under the name uncultured organism. RNAcentral's name for it is "partial 16S ribosomal RNA". It matches the Rfam family "Bacterial small subunit ribosomal RNA", at positions 331 to 798 of the family's 1533-position model. The record is from RNAcentral.